GUCCCAGCGCCCACAACAGGAUUGCUGAUCUCGAGUGUCUUCAUACGGAGGCUUUCUCUGCAAAGAAAAAUGCAGCGGCACCGACAGAAAAGAAGUAAUACUGCUCUCUUGGAGGAAUCCAGGCCAGAACUAACAAAAGAGGUGGCAUUGGCAGAGUUGCAGUUAUUGGCUUCGAACAGCUUAAAAGGGGCCAUAGUCAACUACGAAAG
Rhipicephalus sanguineus (brown dog tick) is the source of this 209-nucleotide long non-coding RNA. RefSeq lists it as uncharacterized. The record is from RefSeq and is a predicted model, not a curated record. The transcript is spliced from 3 exons. Lineage: Eukaryota; Metazoa; Arthropoda; Arachnida; Ixodida; Ixodidae.